Camelus ferus (Wild Bactrian camel) is the source of this 72-nucleotide non-coding RNA. The record is from Rfam. Lineage: Eukaryota; Metazoa; Chordata; Mammalia; Artiodactyla; Camelidae.
GAGAGUAUAGCUCAGUGGUAGAGUGCAUGCUCAGAAUGCACAAGGUCCUGGGUUCAAUCCCCAGUACCUCCC